Eurytemora carolleeae is the source of this 522-nucleotide long non-coding RNA. RefSeq lists it as uncharacterized. The record is from RefSeq and is a predicted model, not a curated record. NCBI's taxonomy places the organism in Eukaryota, Metazoa, Arthropoda, Copepoda, Calanoida, Temoridae. The transcript is spliced from 3 exons.
AGGGAUUAUAAUUGAGUUCUCCAAAGAAAAUGAGACGGAACUCAAUGAAACCAGGUGGAGGUAAAGAGCUCUGUAUAAUGGUCACCAUCAGAGGGUGUGAGAUCAACUGGUAAAUACUGGAGUGGAUUUUGAACCUGCAAUGGAGUAUCUGGAUGAGUUCUUGGCUGAUCUACCACAAAUGUCACAUGAUGAAUCUAACAAUGUUGGGGAUAAGGUGGCAGAGAAUAGAAGUGAUAUUAGAUUUUAGGAAGGAUGAGUUGAGAAAAGUUGAGAUGCCAAACGUUUACCCUGAUUCUCAAGUGCAGAGUUGAAGGUGAAUAGUUGAGCUCCAUCUUUAAACUCGCAAGUUUCAAGAUCUGCCCGCGUGGCCCAAUGAAAAAGCCCUACCUUUUUGUCGUCUUCCUGAAUUUCAAAGGUUCAGGUACUCUGUCCUCCCUUCCCAUAAGCCUGUAUGUGACUAUUUCUGGCUAACUAAGAAGGGUAAUCCUACUCUGCAACCUGUAAGGUCCUCCUGUAAUCUAU